RNAcentral lists this ribosomal RNA (775 nucleotides) under uncultured Neocallimastigales. RNAcentral describes it as "partial large subunit ribosomal RNA". It matches the Rfam family "Eukaryotic large subunit ribosomal RNA", at positions 24 to 636 of the family's 3401-position model. Lineage: Eukaryota; Fungi; Neocallimastigomycota; Neocallimastigomycetes; Neocallimastigales. The record is from RNAcentral.
UAUGUGAUCGUCUCUCGCAUAUCAAUAAGCGGAGGAAAAGAAACUAACAAGGAUUCCCCUAGUAACGGCGAGUGAAGCGGGAAGAGCUCAAAUUUGAAAUCUUAAAGGGUUUCCCUUUACGAAUUGUAGUUUAAAGAAGUGUUUUCUGUUGAGGUUUUGGUAAAAGUUCUUUGGAAUAGGACAUCAUAGAGGGUGAGAAUCCCGUAUUUGACCUUUACUUUCAACUUUGUGAUACACUUUCAAAGAGUCGGAUUGUUUGGGAAUGCAGUCCAAAAUGGGUGGUAAAUUUCAUCUAAAGCUAAAUACUGGCGAGAGACCGAUAGCGAACAAGUACCGUGAGGGAAAGAUGAAAAGAACUUUGAAAAGAGAGUUAAACAGUACGUGAAAUUGUCAAAAGGGAAGCGUUUGACACCAGUGUUGUUUUUCUGAAAAUCAAUUAAAGAACUGUUUAUGCUAAGUUGUUUAGACUUUAUCAGCUAUCUGUUUAGUUUUGAGCUUUUCUUUAAUGCACUUUUCAGUUAACAAGUCAACAUCAAUUUCUUUUGCUGUAAAAAAGCUUGAGGAAGGUGGCUUGAGAUUCGUCUUAAGUGUUUAUAGCCUCUUGCCUAUGCAGUCGGAGAGAUUGAGGUCUGCAGCGUAGAUCCUUCGGGGCUAAAUGCAUUUGUGCUAAGUUAUAGCAUUUUAUAGACAACUUGUUGACUAUGAUUUAGUCUUGUAGCUUACUCGCUUAUGUUAUUUUACCUACGCUUAGGAUGUUGAUAUGCAUGACUGAUAU